RNAcentral lists this small RNA (355 nucleotides) under Pongo abelii (Sumatran orangutan). RNAcentral's name for it is "retained intron". Lineage: Eukaryota; Metazoa; Chordata; Mammalia; Primates; Hominidae. The record is from RNAcentral.
GUCCUCAUGAAACAUGGGGAAAUUUCUGCCUGAAGCAUAAAGUGCACCUUGGUGCAGCGUCUGCAUGGUCAAGCGUGGAUAACUCUUGGUUUCACGAGAGCCUUUUGUCUCCGGGCCUCAUGAUUUUAAUGAUGCUGAAUCCUGCCGUUGUCUGUUACAGCAAAGAGAGCAGGAUGAAUGGACAGUACCAGCAGCCCACGGACAGUCUCAACAAUGACAACAAGUAUUCCCUGUUUGCUGUUGUUAACCAUCAAGGAACCUUGGAGAGUGGCCACUACACCAGCUUUAUCCGGCAGCACAAAGACCAGUGGUUCAAGUGUGACGAUGCCAUCAUCACCAAGGCCAGCAUCAAGGA